RNAcentral lists this ribosomal RNA (465 nucleotides) under uncultured Rhodocyclaceae bacterium. RNAcentral describes it as "bacterial SSU rRNA". It matches the Rfam family "Bacterial small subunit ribosomal RNA", at positions 917 to 1381 of the family's 1533-position model. The record is from RNAcentral. Lineage: Bacteria; Pseudomonadati; Pseudomonadota; Betaproteobacteria; Rhodocyclales; Rhodocyclaceae.
CGGGACCGCACAAGCGGUGGAUGAUGUGAUUAAUUCGAUGCAACGACGAAAACCCUUACCUACCCUUGACAUGCCAGGAAUCUUGGUGAGAGCCGAGAGUCGCUUCGGGAGCCUGGACACAGGUGCUGCAUGGCUGUCGUCAGCUCGUGUCGUGAGAUGUUGGGUUAAGUCCCGCGACGAGCGCAACCCUUGUCACUAGUUGCCAGCAUUUAGUUGGGCACUCUAGUGAGACUGCCGGUGACAAACCGGAGGAAGGUGGGGAUGACGUCAAGUCCUCAUGGCCCUUAUGGGUAGGGCUUCACACGUCAUACAAUGGUCGGUACAGAGGGUUGCCAAACCGCGAGGUGGAGCCAAUCCCUAAAAGCCGAUCGUAGUCCGGAUCGUAGUCUGCAACUCGACUACGUGAAGUCGGAAUCGCUAGUAAUCGCGGAUCAGCAUGUCGCGGUGAAUACGUUCCCGGGUCUU